UGAGAGGGUGAUCGGUCACACUGAGACUGAGACACGGCCCAGACUCCUACGAGAGGCAGCAGUAGGGAAUCUUCCGCAAUGGACGAAAGUCUGACGGAGCAACGCCGCGUGAGUGAUGAAGGUCUUCGGAUCGUAAAACUCUGUUGUUAGGGAAGAACAAGUGCCAUUCGAAUAGGUUGGCACCUUGACGGUACCUAACCAGAAAGCCCCGGCUAACUACGUGCCAGCAGCCGCGGUAAUACGUAGGGGGCAAGCGUUGUCCGGAAUUAUUGGGCGUAAAGCGCGCGCAGGCGGUCCUUUAAGUCUGAUGUGAAAGCCCACGGCUUAACCGUGGAGGGCCAUUGGAAACUGGAGGACUUGAGUACAGAAGAGGAGAGUGGAAUUCCACGUGUAGCGGUGAAAUGCGUAGAGAUGUGGAGGAACACCAGUGGCGAAGGCGACUCUCUGGUCUGUAACUGACGCUGAGGUGCGAAAGCGUGGGUAGCGAACAGGAUUAGAUACCCUGGUAGUCCACGCCGUAAACGAUGAGUGCUAGGUGUUAGGGGGUUCCGCCCCUUAGUGCUGAAGUAACGC
RNAcentral lists this ribosomal RNA (573 nucleotides) under Virgibacillus dokdonensis. Its description in RNAcentral is "bacterial SSU rRNA". It matches the Rfam family "Bacterial small subunit ribosomal RNA", at positions 293 to 858 of the family's 1533-position model. Lineage: Bacteria; Bacillati; Bacillota; Bacilli; Caryophanales; Bacillaceae. The record is from RNAcentral.